This 394-nucleotide ribosomal RNA is filed under the name Haemophilus influenzae. RNAcentral describes it as "bacterial SSU rRNA". It matches the Rfam family "Bacterial small subunit ribosomal RNA", at positions 385 to 774 of the family's 1533-position model. Lineage: Bacteria; Pseudomonadati; Pseudomonadota; Gammaproteobacteria; Pasteurellales; Pasteurellaceae. The record is from RNAcentral.
GACGCAGCAUGCCGCGUGAUGAGAAGGCCUUAGGGUUGUAAAGUUCUUUCGGUAUUGAGGAAGGUUGAUGUGUUAAUAGCACAUCAAAUUGACGUUAAAUACAGAAGAAGCACCGGCUAACUCCGUGCCAGCAGCCGCGGUAAUACGGAGGGUGCGAGCGUUAAUCGGAAUAACUGGGCGUAAAGGGCACGCAGGCGGUUAUUUAAGUGAGGUGUGAAAGCCCCGGGCUUAACCUGGGAAUUGCAUUUCAGACUGGGUAACUAGAGUACUUUAGGGAGGGGUAGAAUUCCACGUGUAGCGGUGAAAUGCGUAGAGAUGUGGAGGAAUACCGAAGGCGAAGGCAGCCCCUUGGGAAUGUACUGACGCUCAUGUGCGAAAGCGUGGGGAGCAAACA